Unclassified non-coding RNA from Erinaceus europaeus (western European hedgehog), 329 nucleotides. Its record names the gene 7SK. It matches the Rfam family "7SK RNA". From Rfam's summary of the family: 7SK was discovered as an abundant small nuclear RNA in the mid-70s but a possible function has only recently been suggested. Two independent studies have found that 7SK RNA binds the CDK9/cyclin T complex (known as elongation factor P-TEFb). The record is from Ensembl. NCBI's taxonomy places the organism in Eukaryota, Metazoa, Chordata, Mammalia, Eulipotyphla, Erinaceidae.
GAAUGUAAGGGUGAUCUGGCUGUGACAUCUGUCACCCCAUUGAUCACCAGAGUUGAUUAGGCUGAUCUGGCUGGCUAGGUGGGUGUCCCCUUUCUCCCUCACUGUUCCAUGUGCAUCGCUACUGAAGCUGCAAGCUAGGUGGAAGAGGAAGGCCUUCCCCAAAUAGAUAUGGACCGGUCUUUGGACUGGUCUUUCGUGGAGGUUACACUAGUAGCUGUGCGCCCCUGCUAGAACCUCCAAACAAGCUCUCUGUAUAAAAUAGAGAUAAAUUUCCCUCGUAAUCCUAUAUAGUAUCAAUUUGCUUCUAAGUUUAGAGAUUACAGAUAUGG